AGCUGGCCACACUUCACAUUGUAUUAAAUUAAAGACACCUAAAAAGGAGCGCUUAUUUGAAGAGCAUUACAAAAAAUGGUUUAUUGAGCCUGCAAGAAAUAAGAAUUUAUUAAAUAUAGCUUACCAAAAUUGACUAUAAAUGCAAAAUUACCUGCUCGGCUAUUUUCAAAAGGUGAUCAAAUGUUGACUUCCCCGUUUGCAUAACCAUGCUAUGAAAGACAUUAGUCUGGGAUGCCGUCAAGAGUUCAUAAGGCGCGCCAAACUCCACAACAUGUCCCGCAUCCAAUACCAUCACCUUGUCCGAGUCCAUAAUAGUGUGUAGACGAUGAGCAAUCGUUAGCACCGUGCAAUCUUUGAACUUGUUUCUGAUCGUAGUCUGUAUAAGAGCAUCAGUUUGUGGAUCCACAUUGGCAGUGGCCUCAUCCAUGACAAGCACACGAUUCUCGCGCAGAAUAGCACGAGCCAGGCACACCAGUUGACGUUGACCCACGCUGAAGUUGGAUCCACCCUCAGAAAUGUUACCCAGCAGUCCCAUAGGGAGCUCAGAAACUUCAUCCUUCAAAUGCACCUGAAGAAGAAAUAGAGAAAAUGAAUUACAUCUGUGAUAUGGACUGUGUGUUAAACUUACUUCCUCCAAUGAUUGCCAUAGUUUCUGGUCCGGAUACUGCUCAAAUGGAUCCAAGUUGUAGCGCACUGUGCCAGAGAACAACACAGGCUCCUGAGGUAUAAUCGAAAUCUUGCUACGCAGAUCAUACAAGCCCAACUCUUCCGUAUCGCGU
Molecule: long non-coding RNA, 779 nt
Organism: Drosophila nasuta
Lineage: Eukaryota; Metazoa; Arthropoda; Insecta; Diptera; Drosophilidae
Exons: 2
Source: RefSeq, a predicted model, not a curated record